RNAcentral lists this long non-coding RNA (1044 nucleotides) under Salmo salar (Atlantic salmon). RNAcentral's name for it is "lncRNA (ENSSSAG00000084767.1)". The record is from RNAcentral. Lineage: Eukaryota; Metazoa; Chordata; Actinopteri; Salmoniformes; Salmonidae.
CUGUGUGCAAACAAAUACAGCAACACCACAACAUAUUGUUUAAUAUCCCUGACUGUACACUUUAAACAACGAGAGCAGACGGUGAGAGUGCGAUUGUUAGGACCUGAGCCCUAGGACCAUGCCUCAGGACUACCUGGCUUGAUGACUCCUUGCUGUCCCCAGUUUACCUGGCCGUGCUGCUGCUCCAGUUCCAACUGUUCUGCCUGCAGCUAUGGAACCCUGACCUGUUCACCGGACGUGCUACCUGUCCCAGACCUGUUGUCCCAGACCUGCUGGAACCCUGAACUAUUCACCGGACGUGCUACCUGUCCCAGACCUGCUGUUUUCAACUCUCUAGAGACAGCAGGAACGGUAGAGAUACUCUCAAAGAUCGGCUAUGAAAAAGCCAACUGACACUUACUCUUGUGUUACUGACUUGUUGCACCCUCGACAACUACUAUGAUUAUUAUUAUUUGACAAUGCUGGUCAUUUAUGAACAUUUGAACAUCUAGGCCAUGUGCUGUUAUAAUCUCCACCCGGCACACCCAGAAGAGGACUGGCCACCCCUCAUAGCCUGGUUCCUCUCUAGGUUUCUUCCUAGGUUUUGGCCUUUCUAGGGAGUUUUUCCUAGCCACCGUGCUUCUACACCUGCAUUGCUUGCUGUUUGGGGUUUUAGGCUGGGUUUCGGUACAGCACUUUGAGAUAUCAGCUGAUGUAAGAAGGGCUAUAUAAAUACAUUUGAUUUGAUUUGAUUUGUAGUGAACAGGCGCACUUUUUAUUCCGGUCAAAAUGACAGCACAAAGAUGUGCCCAAACACGGAACAUAGACAAAAAGUAAUGCUCGUAACAAUAUCCACAAUAUCAAAAUACACGUAACACAAACAAUCCUACACAAAGACAUGAUGGGGAACAGAGGAAUAAAUACAUAUGAAUUGAUUGGGGAAUGAAAACCAGCUGUGCAGGGAACAAGACAAAACAAAUGGAUACAUGAAAAAUGGAGCGGCGAUGGCUAGAAAGUCGGUGACGUCGACACCGAACGCCGCCCGAACAAGGAGAGGAGCCGACU